This is a long non-coding RNA of Uranotaenia lowii, 415 nucleotides long. RefSeq lists it as uncharacterized. The transcript has 3 exons. Lineage: Eukaryota; Metazoa; Arthropoda; Insecta; Diptera; Culicidae. The record is from RefSeq and is a predicted model, not a curated record.
CAAUUUGUGUUUAUGAUUCAAGAAAACUAUCUUAUUAAGUAGUUUAAAGUUUAAUUUGAAAAUCGUCGUCGGGGGUCGUUUGAAUAAUGAUUGUCGGUCUGUCGUCGUGAGAAGAAUAGUGAAAAAACUGGGAAUAAAAAGACGAAAGCAUCCAAGCAAGAAUACCCGAGGCUGACCUUCAAAAUGAAAAUCUUAUUAGGAUGCUAGCAGCCCCACCUGUCUGCUAAGAGAAGGAGACACACUUUCCGGACUCAAUCAACUCGAAAUGUCGUGGAGAGCAAUAUAGGACCUCACUCGGUCGGCGGCAGGUAAGCAGCAGUUUCCGGUGCGCGGGCAACCACCGGAAUCAAAUGGAUAUUGUUUCAAUCCAAUCCAAUCGAAUCGUCUUGGCAUUGGGCUCGAGUCCGGUUUUAUC